GGGGAAUAUUGCACAAUGGGGGAAACCCUGAUGCAGCAACGCCGCGUGAGAGAAGAAGGCCUUCGGGUUGUAAAUCUCUGUCAUUGGGGACGAUAAUGACGGUACCCAAGGAGGAAGCCACGGCUAACUACGUGCCAGCAGCCGCGGUAAUACGUAGGUGGCGAGCGUUGUCCGGAAUUACUGGGCGUAAAGGAUGCGUAGGCGGAAAGAUAAGUGAGAUGUGAAAUACCCGGGCUUAACCUGGGGGGUGCAUUUCAAACUGUUUUUCUAGAGUGCAGGAGAGGAAAGUGGAAUUUCUAGUGUAGCGGUGAAAUGCGUAGAUAUUAGGAAGAACACCAGUGGCGAAGGCGACUUUCUGGACUGUAACUGACGCUGAGGCAUGAAAGCGUGGGGAGCAAAC
This 400-nucleotide ribosomal RNA is filed under the name uncultured bacterium. RNAcentral's name for it is "bacterial SSU rRNA". It matches the Rfam family "Bacterial small subunit ribosomal RNA", at positions 356 to 773 of the family's 1533-position model. The record is from RNAcentral.